GGGUGGUUAGCUCAGUAGGAAGAGCAUCAGUAUUACAAACUGAGGGUCGCAAGUUCGAAUCUUGCACUACCCA
Molecule: non-coding RNA, 73 nt
Organism: Candidatus Portiera aleyrodidarum (primary endosymbiont of Bemisia tabaci)
Lineage: Bacteria; Pseudomonadati; Pseudomonadota; Gammaproteobacteria; Johnevansiales (SeqCode); Johnevansiaceae (SeqCode)
Source: Rfam